CUGUAAACCGGAAGAAACAUGAACUCACGCUUUUGUUCCGCGUUCGACGUUUAAAAGCAACUGGAAUGUCUGUUGCACCUACAGUACUGAAGAUUAACUGCAUAUUGUGACCAAGCCGAGGAUCUCCAGUCAAAUUAUGGUUGGAAAAAAGAAUUCCUACUGACCUCAGGGUCAAGAGGUGUCUGGAGCUAAUCUCUUUGGGGUGUCAGAAGAACAGAGAUGACCUGGCUGGAACCUGUUCACAGACAGAUGCAGAGGAGAACAUGCAGACCUGAUGCAUGUACCUACAUGUGUAUCUUCAGCCCAUAUGUGAAUAUCUGCUUAGUUAGUUAUCUUACUUGUGGUGGUUUGUGUACACUGGUCUUAGAAGACAUAAUGAAUGCUUAUCCCACCUGUAUAGGCUAGUCUUAAACAACAGGAAGGACAAUAGGAGGAGACAGGGUGUGGUACUGGAUGGCAAACAUUGGUCAGCUACUUCUGUCUUAAGUCCCUUCCACAGAAAUGAGCACACAAACCAUUAGAAGUAGACAGCAAGAGGGAACAUAAGAAUAACUGGGUAUCUAAAACUGAAUGUACUUUUGGCUUUAUAUUCUUAUUUCUUCUUAUCCUUGUCUAUUUGAGGUGACUGUAGCUCAGGAGGUCAACCAGAUCAUUUACUAAUCAGAAGGUUGGUGAUUCAAUCCCUGGCUGCUCCACUACGAAAGUAUCCUUGGGCAGAGUUGCUCUCCAGUGCGUUCAUCUGUGUGUGAAUGAUAGAAAGCGCUUGAGUGUAGAAAAAUCUGCUUGUGUGAACAAAGCAUGUUAUAUAAAGUCGUUUGAGUGCUCAAAUAGAGUAGAAAAGCGUUUCCAUUCCCAGUAAGGUUUUUUUCUUCAUAUUUUAUAUUUAUACGUGUUGGAAAACAUCCAGCCUUUGAAACUACUUUUAUUCUGACCUUUCUGUUUUAAUGAGUUUUUCACGAUGAAGGCUGACCAUUUGGACUUGGCACUAAAACUGAUCUCACACACAAGUGCAUGCCUGUAUUUGUGUGUGCAUACAGUUUGUGUGUGUGUGUGAGAGAGAGACACCUUAACCCUACA
Long non-coding RNA from Maylandia zebra (zebra mbuna), 1077 nucleotides. RefSeq lists it as uncharacterized. The record is from RefSeq and is a predicted model, not a curated record. NCBI's taxonomy places the organism in Eukaryota, Metazoa, Chordata, Actinopteri, Cichliformes, Cichlidae.